UACGGAGGAUGCAAGCGUUAUCCGGAAUGAUUGGGCGUAAAGCGUCCGCAGGUGGCAAUGUAAGUCUGCUGUUAAGGAGUCUAGCUCAACUAGAUAAAAGCAGUGGAAACUACAUAGCUAGAGUACGUUCGGGGCAGAGGGAAUUCCUGGUGUAGCGGUGAAAUGCGUAGAGAUCAGGAAGAACACCAGUGGCGAAGGCGCUCUGCUAGGCCGUAACUGACACUGAGGGACGAAAGCUAGGGGAGCGAAUGGG
This 253-nucleotide ribosomal RNA is filed under the name uncultured bacterium. RNAcentral's name for it is "partial 16S ribosomal RNA". It matches the Rfam family "Bacterial small subunit ribosomal RNA", at positions 524 to 776 of the family's 1533-position model. The record is from RNAcentral.